Molecule: unclassified non-coding RNA, 349 nt
Filed under: soil metagenome
Description: partial contains 5.8S ribosomal RNA, internal transcribed spacer 2, and large subunit ribosomal RNA
Rfam family: 5.8S ribosomal RNA (bases 1-120)
Source: RNAcentral
GAUGAAGAACGUAGCGAAAUGCGAUAAUUAAUGUGAAUUGCAGAAUUCCGUGAAUCAUCGAGUUUUUGAACGCAUAUUGCGCCCCCUGGUAUUCCGGGGGGCAUGCCUGUCCGAGCGUCAUUGCUGCCCUCAAGCACGGCUUGUGUGUUGGGCCUCCGCCCCCCGGCUCCCGGGGGGCGGGCCCGAAAGGCAGCGGCGGCACCGCGUCCGGUCCUCGAGCGUAUGGGGCUUCGUCACCCGCUCCGUAGGCCCGGCCGGCGCCCGCCGGCGACCCCCCUCAAUCUUUCCAGGUUGACCUCGGAUCAGGUAGGGAUACCCGCUGAACUUAAGCAUAUCAAUAAGCGGAGGA